RNAcentral lists this ribosomal RNA (253 nucleotides) under uncultured bacterium. Its description in RNAcentral is "partial 16S ribosomal RNA". It matches the Rfam family "Bacterial small subunit ribosomal RNA", at positions 524 to 776 of the family's 1533-position model. The record is from RNAcentral.
UACGUAGGGACCAAGCGUUGUUCGGAUUUACUGGGCGUAAAGGGCGCGUAGGCGGCGUAAUAAGUCACUUGUGAAAUCUCCGGGCUUAACUCGGAGCGGCCAAGUGAUACUGUCAUGCUAGAGUGCAGAAAGGGCAAUCGGAAUUCUCGGUGUAGCGGUGAAAUGCGCAGAUAUCAGGAAGAACACCAAUGGCGAAGGCAGCUCUCUGGGACGGUACUGACACUGAGACGCGAAAGCGUGGGGAGCGAACAGG